UACGUAGGGUGCAAGCGUUGUCCGGAAUUAUUGGGCGUAAAGAGCUCGUAGGCGGUUUGUCGCGUCUGCUGUGAAAACUCGGGGCUUAACCCCGGGCCUGCAGUGGGUACGGGCAGACUAGAGUGCGGUAGGGGAGACUGGAAUUCCUGGUGUAGCGGUGAAAUGCGUAGAUAUCGGGAGGAACACCGGUGGCGAAGGCGACCAUCUGGACGGAUACUGACGCUGAGACGCGAAAGCGUGGGGAGCAAACAGG
RNAcentral lists this ribosomal RNA (253 nucleotides) under uncultured bacterium. RNAcentral describes it as "partial 16S ribosomal RNA". It matches the Rfam family "Bacterial small subunit ribosomal RNA", at positions 524 to 776 of the family's 1533-position model. The record is from RNAcentral.